This is a long non-coding RNA of Amphimedon queenslandica, 204 nucleotides long. RefSeq lists it as uncharacterized. The record is from RefSeq and is a predicted model, not a curated record. The transcript is spliced from 3 exons. NCBI's taxonomy places the organism in Eukaryota, Metazoa, Porifera, Demospongiae, Haplosclerida, Niphatidae.
UGCUGGAUAUAAUACAAAAGAAUCUGGAGUACUUGUGUUACAUAUUUCACCAUCAGGUUCUAUUGAGCUGAGUUGGGUACAUUCUACAGAUGAUAUGGUCAUUGCUUACAAUUCUAAUGAUAAAUCAAAGUCUUUUAUGUCUCAGUUGGAAAGAAAGGCAAUACCUGAUGGGAUAAGAACAACAGCUGGGUGGCUUUCAUUUUA